GUGGGGAAUUUUGGACAAUGGGGGCAACCCUGAUCCAGCCAUUCCGCGUGAGUGAAGAAGGCCUUAGGGUUGUAAAGCUCUUUCAGUAGGGAAGAUAAUGACGGUACCUACAGAAGAAGCCCCGGCUAACUUCGUGCCAGCAGCCGCGGUAAUACGAAGGGGGCUAGCGUUGUUCGGAUUUACUGGGCGUAAAGCGCACGUAGGCGGAUUGGUCAGUUAGAGGUGAAAUCCUGGAGCUCAACUCCAGAACUGCCUUUAAUACUGCCAGUCUAGAGUCCAGAAGAGGUGAGUGGAACUCCUAGUGUAGAGGUGGAAUUCGUAGAUAUUAGGAAGAACACCAGUGGCGAAGGCGGCUCACUGGUCUGGUACUGACGCUGAGGUGCGAAAGCGUGGGGAGCAAACAGGAUUAGAUACCCGAGUAGUCC
RNAcentral lists this ribosomal RNA (425 nucleotides) under uncultured bacterium. RNAcentral describes it as "partial 16S ribosomal RNA". It matches the Rfam family "Bacterial small subunit ribosomal RNA", at positions 354 to 796 of the family's 1533-position model. The record is from RNAcentral.